RNAcentral lists this ribosomal RNA (510 nucleotides) under uncultured bacterium. Its description in RNAcentral is "partial 16S ribosomal RNA". It matches the Rfam family "Bacterial small subunit ribosomal RNA", at positions 28 to 507 of the family's 1533-position model. The record is from RNAcentral.
GACGAACGCUGGCGGCGUGCUUAACACAUGCAAGUCGAACGAAGAGCGAUGGGAGCUUGCUUCUAUCAAUCUUAGUGGCGAACGGGUGAGUAACGCGUAAUCAACCUGCCCUUCAGCGGGGGACAACAGUUGGAAACGACUGCUAAUACCGCAUACGAUCUAACCUCGGCAUCGAGGAAGGAUGAAAGGUGGCCUCUAUUUAUAAGCCAUCACUGAAGGAGGGGAUUGCGUCUGAUUAGCUAGUUGGAGGGGUAACGGCCCACCAAGGCGAUGAUCAGUAGCCGGUAUGAGAGGAUGAACGGCCACAUGGGGACUGAGACGCGGCCCAGACUCCUACGGGGGGCAGCAGUGGGGAAUCUUCCGCAAUGGACGAAAGUCUGACGGAGCAACGCGGCGUGAGUGAUGACGGCCUUCGGGUUGUACAGCUCUGUUACUCGGGACGAAAGGCCUUCUUGCGAAUAGUUAGAAGGAUUGACGGUACCGGAAUAGAAAGCCACGGCUAACUACGUG